RNAcentral lists this ribosomal RNA (464 nucleotides) under uncultured bacterium. RNAcentral describes it as "partial 16S ribosomal RNA". It matches the Rfam family "Bacterial small subunit ribosomal RNA", at positions 28 to 507 of the family's 1533-position model. The record is from RNAcentral.
GACGAACGCUGGCGGCGUGCUUAACAUAUGCAAGUCGAACGAUGAAGCCAGCUUGCUGGUGGAUUAGUGGCGAACGGGUGAGUAACACGUGGGUGAUCUGCCCCAAACUUUGGGAUAAGCCUGGGAAACUGGGUCUAAUACCGAAUAUGACCGAUACUCGCAUGGGUGUUGGUGGAAAGCUCCGGCGGUUUGGGAUGGGCCCGCGGCCUAUCAGCUUGUUGGUGGGGUAAUGGCCUACCAAGGCGACGACGGGUAGCCGGCCUGAGAGGGCGACCGGCCACACUGGGACUGAGACACGGCCCAGACUCCUAUGGGAGGCAGCAGUGGGGAAUAUUGCACAAUGGGCGCAAGCCUGAUGCAGCGACGCCGCGUGAGGGAUGACGGCCUUCGGGUUGUAAACCUCUUUCACCAGGGACGAAGCGAAAGUGACGGUACCUGGAGAAGAAGCACCGGCCAACUACGUG